Molecule: long non-coding RNA, 353 nt
Filed under: Brassica napus (rape)
Lineage: Eukaryota; Viridiplantae; Streptophyta; Magnoliopsida; Brassicales; Brassicaceae
Description: long non-coding RNA (BNAP_LNC021279)
Source: RNAcentral
AGGGAGAGAGAGAGAGAGAAAGAGAGGUGUGAGAGAAGAAGAGAGAAAAGGAAAAGAGAAGUUUGACGGCUAGGGUUUCCUAGUCUCUCUAAAUCUCUGCAGAGCUUCGCUCAAGUUUCAGAAUGAGAGAAAAGAAGAGCUGCAUCUCUUUUUAUAGGAAAUGAUGAAGGGAACCGUAGGUUUUUGUCAAAUGGGCCGUAGAGAAGCCCAUUCUUUUAUGAAAAUUUUUGGGCCAGGAACUGGGCCGUUACAAUAAUGCUUGUCAUGAAUCAUAAUGAAUAUCAUAUAUAAUUAAAAUGUAUAUACUGAUUAUACAUAUUUUAAUUUUUGUCAACAUUAUCAUGUCUUAUAAU